Molecule: non-coding RNA, 74 nt
Organism: Phrynosoma platyrhinos (Desert horned lizard)
Lineage: Eukaryota; Metazoa; Chordata; Lepidosauria; Squamata; Phrynosomatidae
Source: the annotation of a GenBank genome assembly
AGUAAAGUGUAGUGUAGUGGUUUGAGUGUUGGAUUACAACUCUGGAGACCAGGGUUCAAUUCCCAGCUUAAUCA